RNAcentral lists this unclassified non-coding RNA (329 nucleotides) under plant metagenome. RNAcentral describes it as "partial contains 5.8S ribosomal RNA, internal transcribed spacer 2, and large subunit ribosomal RNA". The stretch from base 1 to 105 matches the Rfam family "5.8S ribosomal RNA", at positions 50 to 154 of the family's 154-position model. The record is from RNAcentral.
GAAAUGCGAUAAGUAAUGUGAAUUGCAGAAUUCCGUGAAUCAUCGAAUCUUUGAACGCACAUUGCGCCCUCUGGUAUUCCGGGGGGCAUGCCUGUCCGAGCGUCAUUGCGAACCCCUCAAGCACGGCUUGUGUGAUGGGCCCUCCCGCGUCUUGGUCGUCAAGACGGGCCCGAAAUGCAGUGGCGGCUUCGCGGUUAUCCGAUCAGUCAGAGCGUAUGGGGACUUUCUCUCUGUCACACGCCCGCGGCGCGGACCGACGCCUGUCGACCUUCAUUCAUCGUUUUCUCGGUUGACCUCGGAUCAGGUAGGGAUACCCGCUGAACUUAAGC